UCCCGCGUGAAGGACGACGGCCCUAUGGGUUGUAAACUUCUUUUGUAUAGGGAUAAACCUACNCUCGUGAGGGUAGCUGAAGGUACUAUACNAAUAAGCACCGGCUAACUCCGUGCCAGCAGCCGCGGUAAUACGGAGGGUGCNNGCGUUAUCCGGAUUUAUUGGGUUUAAAGGGUCCGUAGGNGGAUCUGUAAGUCAGUGGUGAAAUCUCACAGCUUAACUGUGAAACUGCCAUUGAUACUGCAGGUCUUGAGUGUUGUUGAAGUAGCUGGAAUAAGUAGUGUAGCGGUGAAAUGCAUAGAUAUUACUUAGAACACCAAUUGCGAAGGCAGGUUACUAAGCAACAACUGACGCUGAUGGACGAAAGCGUGGGGAGCGAACAGGAUUAGAUACCCUGGUAGUCCACGCCGUAAACGAUGCUAACUCGUUUUUGGGAUUUCGGUUUCAGAGACUAAGCGAAAGUGAUAAGUUAGCCACCUGGGGAGUACGAACGCAAGUUUGAAACUCAAAGGAAUUGACGGGGGCCCGCACAAGCGGUGGAUUAUGUGGUUUAAUUCGAUGAUACGCGAGGAACCUUACCAAGGCUUAAAUGGGAAAUGACAUGCUUAGAAAUAGGCUUUUCUUCGGACAUUUUUCAAGGUGCUGCAUGGUUGUCGUCAGCUCGUGCCGUGAGGUGUUAGGUUAAGUCCUGCAACGAGCGCAACCCCUGUCACUAGUUGCCAUCAUUAAGUUGGGGACUCUAGUGAGACUGCCUACGCAAGUAGAGAGGAAGGUGGGGAUGACGUCAAAUCAUCACGGCCCUUACGCCUUGNGNCCACACACGUAAUACAAUGGCCGGUACAGAGGGCAGCUACACAGCGAUGUGAUGCAAAUCUCGAAAGCCGGUCUCAGUUCGGAUUGGAGUCUGCAACUCGACUCUAUGAAGCUGGAAUCGCUAGUAAUCGCGCAUCAGCCANGGCGCGGUGAAUACGUUCCCGGGCCUUGUACACACCGCCCGUCAAGCCAUGGAAGUCUGGGGUACCUGAAGUCGGUGACCGUAACAGGAGCUG
RNAcentral lists this ribosomal RNA (1049 nucleotides) under Chryseobacterium sp. Its description in RNAcentral is "bacterial SSU rRNA". It matches the Rfam family "Bacterial small subunit ribosomal RNA", at positions 395 to 1455 of the family's 1533-position model. Lineage: Bacteria; Pseudomonadati; Bacteroidota; Flavobacteriia; Flavobacteriales; Weeksellaceae. The record is from RNAcentral.